CCCUUAGAUGUCCUGGGCCGCACGCGCGUUACACUGAUGCAUUCAACGAGCUUAUAACCUUGGCCGAGAGGCCUGGGCAAUCUUGUUAACGUGCAUCGUGAUAGGGAUAGAUUAUUGAAAUUAUUAAUCUUGAACGAGGAAUUCCUAGUAAACGCAGAUCAUCAAUCUGCAUUGAUUACGUCCCUGCCCUUUGUACACACCGCCCGUCGCACCUACCGAUUGGAUGGUCCGGUGAAGACUCAAGAGAUAUGUAGGCGCUCGGGUGACCGAACGCGUUGCGUGUCAAAUUUGUCUAAACCUUAUCGCUUAGAGGAAGGAGAAGUCGUAACA
This 330-nucleotide ribosomal RNA is filed under the name uncultured eukaryote. RNAcentral's name for it is "partial 18S ribosomal RNA". It matches the Rfam family "Eukaryotic small subunit ribosomal RNA", at positions 1470 to 1796 of the family's 1831-position model. The record is from RNAcentral.